Molecule: ribosomal RNA, 253 nt
Filed under: uncultured bacterium
Lineage: Bacteria
Description: partial 16S ribosomal RNA
Rfam family: Bacterial small subunit ribosomal RNA
Source: RNAcentral
UACGAAGGGGGCUAGCGUUGUUCGGAUUUACUGGGCGUAAAGCGCACGUAGGCGGAUCGAUCAGUCAGGGGUGAAAUCCCAGAGCUCAACUCUGGAACUGCCUUUGAUACUGUCGAUCUGGAGUAUGGAAGAGGUGAGUGGAAUUCCGAGUGUAGAGGUGAAAUUCGUAGAUAUUAGGAGGAACACCAGUGGCGAAGGCGGCUCACUGGUCCAUUACUGACGCUGAGGUGCGAAAGCGUGGGGAGCAAACAGG